CUCUAGCCCCGAUAGGAACGGUUACCCCACAGCAUGGAGUUGGCUCCCGGGCCAGGCGCGAGGAGUAAAAGUGGAUAGCGGGAAACAGC
This 89-nucleotide small RNA is filed under the name Chryseobacterium aquifrigidense. RNAcentral's name for it is "Flavo-1 RNA". The record is from RNAcentral. Lineage: Bacteria; Pseudomonadati; Bacteroidota; Flavobacteriia; Flavobacteriales; Weeksellaceae.